This is a long non-coding RNA of Synchiropus splendidus (mandarinfish), 319 nucleotides long. RefSeq lists it as uncharacterized. The record is from RefSeq and is a predicted model, not a curated record. The transcript has 3 exons. NCBI's taxonomy places the organism in Eukaryota, Metazoa, Chordata, Actinopteri, Syngnathiformes, Callionymidae.
GUCAGAGGUCGAAGGAGUAGGGCACCCGCUCGUUGAUUCUUUAACUCACCAGAUGCCUCAGCUGAUAGGAGAUACAAAGACAACGAGCACGCCACACCUUCUACCUGUCGCUUCAACACCAACACCAACACCAACCUCUCCCCUCUGGGUCUUGGCCUUUGUGGGAGACAUCGACGCCGGUUUCCUCAGUACCUCUGGAUCUACUAUCCGGACCGUUCCCUGCUGAAGACUCGACGUCGGCAUCUGGGCUAUCCGCACCUCCACAGCCACCGUCGCCGACACCAUCAGCACAGCCAGCAACCACAGACAAGCCGCGGAC